GCUACGGGAGGCAGCAGUGAGGAAUAUUGGUCAAUGGACGAGAGUCUGAACCAGCCAAGUAGCGUGAAGGAUGACUGCCCUAUGGGUUGUAAACUUCUUUUAUAAAGGAAUAAAACGAGGCACGUGUGCCUUGUUGCAUGUACUUUAUGAAUAAGGAUCGGCUAACUCCGUGCCAGCAGCCGCGGUAAUACGGGGGAUCCGAGCGUUAUCCGGAUUUAUUGGGUUUAAAGGGAGCGUAGAUGGGUUGUUAAGUCAGUUGUGAAAGUUUGCGGCUCAACCGUAAAAGUGCAAUUGAGACUGGCAGUCUUGAGUACAGUUGAGGUAAGCGGAAUUCGUGGUGUAGCGGUGAAAUGCUUAGAUAUCACGAAGAACCCCGAUUGCGAAGGCAGCUUACUAAACUGUGACUGACAUUGAUGCUCGAAAGUGUGGGUAUCAAACAGGAUUAGAUACCCCAGUAGUC
RNAcentral lists this ribosomal RNA (460 nucleotides) under uncultured bacterium. Its description in RNAcentral is "partial 16S ribosomal RNA". It matches the Rfam family "Bacterial small subunit ribosomal RNA", at positions 338 to 795 of the family's 1533-position model. The record is from RNAcentral.